ACGAACGCUGGCGGCAGGCCUAACACAUGCAAGUCGAGCGGACCCUUCGGGGUUAGCGGCGGACGGGUGAGUAACGCGCGGGAAUAUGCCCUUCUCUACGGAAUAGUCCUGGGAAACUGGGGGUAAUACCGUAUACGCCCUUUGGGGGAAAGAUUUAUCGGGGAAGGAUUAGCCCGCGUUGGAUUAGGUAGUUGGUGGGGUAAUGGCCUACCAAGCCGACGAUCCAUAGCUGGUUUGAGAGGAUGAUCAGCCACACUGGGACUGAGACACGGCCCAGACUCCUACGGGAGGCAGCAGUGGGGAAUCUUAGACAAUGGGGGCAACCCUGAUCUAGCCAUGCCGCGUGAGUGAUGAAGGCCUUAGGGUUGUAAAGCUCUUUCAGCUGGGAAGAUAAUGACGGUACCAGCAGAAGAAGCCCCGGCUAACUCCGUG
RNAcentral lists this ribosomal RNA (432 nucleotides) under uncultured bacterium. Its description in RNAcentral is "partial 16S ribosomal RNA". It matches the Rfam family "Bacterial small subunit ribosomal RNA", at positions 29 to 507 of the family's 1533-position model. The record is from RNAcentral.